GACGUAGGAGGCGAGCGUUAUCCGGAUUCACUGGGCGUAAAGCGCAAGUAGGCGGUUGUGAAAGUCCGUUGUUAAAGCCCCUGGCUCAACUGGGGGAGGUCAAUGGAGACUUUAUGACUUGAGGGCAACAGAGGCAUGUGGAACUCCUGGUGUAGCGGUGAAAUGCGCAGAUAUCAGGAGGAACACCGGUGGCGAAGGCGGGUCUCUGGGCCGAUACUGACGCUGAGGAGCGAAAGCGUGGGGAGCGAACAGG
RNAcentral lists this ribosomal RNA (253 nucleotides) under uncultured bacterium. RNAcentral describes it as "partial 16S ribosomal RNA". It matches the Rfam family "Bacterial small subunit ribosomal RNA", at positions 524 to 776 of the family's 1533-position model. The record is from RNAcentral.